GGCGGAGGGAGCGGGCGCGGCGCUGAGGGCGCGGAGGUGCGGGCUGGGAGGGGGCGCUUAGCGCGGCCGGGGACGGACGCGGGGCCGAUAGGGUCGCUUAGCACGGGAGAACAUGGCAGGAAAAGGAAGAAGCUCAGCUCAGUGGAUGCAGACUGGUGUGGGAGACUUCCUAGUACUGGUGUCUAAAGUGGGCUAAAAUGGUAACCUAACUGUUGUGGGAUUCUGCAUGAAAAACACUGUGGGCAAAUUAUAUGGACGUGUGAGCAAAGCCUGAUCUCUUCAUUACUGCAGGUG
This 294-nucleotide long non-coding RNA is filed under the name Lonchura striata (white-rumped munia). RNAcentral's name for it is "domestica (Bengalese finch) lncRNA (ENSLSDG00000017180.1)". Lineage: Eukaryota; Metazoa; Chordata; Aves; Passeriformes; Estrildidae. The record is from RNAcentral.